GAUGAACGCUGGCGGCGUGCCUAAUACAUGCAAGUCGAGCGAACAGAUGAGGAGCUUGCUCCUCUGACGUUAGCGGCGGACGGGUGAGUAACACGUGGAUAACCUACCUAUAAGACUGGGAUAACUUCGGGAAACCGGAGCUAAUACCGGAUAAUAUAUUGAACCGCAUGGUUCAAUAGUGAAAGACGGUUUUGCUGUCACUUAUAGAUGGAUCCGCGCCGCAUUAGCUAGUUGGUAAGGUAACGGCUUACCAAGGCGACGAUGCGUAGCCGACCUGAGAGGCUGAUAGGCCACACUGGAACUGAGACACGGUCCAGACUCCUAAGGGAGGCAGCAGUAGGGAAUCUUCCGCAAUGGGCGAAAGCCUGACGGAGCAACGCCGCGUGAGUGAUGAAGGUCUUCGGAUCGUAAAACUCUGUUAUUAGGGAAGAACAAAUGUGUAAGUAACUAUGCACGUCUUGACGGUACCUAAUCAGAAAGCCACGGCUAACUACGUG
This 497-nucleotide ribosomal RNA is filed under the name uncultured bacterium. RNAcentral describes it as "partial 16S ribosomal RNA". It matches the Rfam family "Bacterial small subunit ribosomal RNA", at positions 28 to 507 of the family's 1533-position model. The record is from RNAcentral.